Phyllostomus discolor (pale spear-nosed bat) is the source of this 1822-nucleotide long non-coding RNA. RefSeq lists it as uncharacterized. The record is from RefSeq and is a predicted model, not a curated record. The transcript is spliced from 2 exons. NCBI's taxonomy places the organism in Eukaryota, Metazoa, Chordata, Mammalia, Chiroptera, Phyllostomidae.
UCCACUGAGCCACACCAGCCUGGGCCUCUCUAGAAAUUAUUUUGAACAUUCUACACCACUUCCAUUUUAAGAUAAAUGAGAGUAAACUUCUCAAUAUCUUCUUUUAAAAAGCUGAAAUUUUUAUCAAAAUUGCACUGAUUCUAUAGAUCAGUGUGAAGAAAAAAAGGACAUUCUAACAACAGUGAGUUGUGCCAUUCGUGAACAUGAUAUAUCUUUCCAUUUAUUUAUGUCUUUAAUUUUUCUGAGAAAUGCUUUACAGUUGCAGUAUAAGGCCUUGCAUAUUUUUUGCUAAAUUUACUCCUUUGGUAAAAAGAUAUUUUGUAAAAUUUUAGUUUUUAAUUAUGUGUUACUAGUAUAAAAAUAUAAUUGAUUUUUGUACACUGACUUUCUAUCUUUUGACCAUGCUAAAUUCAAUUAUUAGUUCUAGUAACCUAAAUUCUUUGGGGUUUUCUAUGUAGAUUAUUGUAUCUUUUUGAAUGAAAUAUUUUAAAUUUUUUUCUACUAAUAAUUCUUCCUGAAAUUUUACUUCUUUUUAUUGCUUUAUUGCAUUGCCUAGGACCUCCAGUGGAAUGCUGAAUAGAAGGGGCAGGAAGGAACAUCCUGCCUUGUUUUCUAUCUCAGGGACAAAGCACUCAUACUUUCAUUAAGUAUGCUAGGUGUUGAAUUUUUGUAAAUGACCUUUAUUAGUAGUUGUGCAGUCUGCCUUUUAUUCAUAAUUUUGGGGAAUUUUUUUCAAAUGGAUAUUGAAUUCUGUUAAAUGCUUUUUCUUUAUCUACUGAGAUAAUCAUGUUUUUUUUUCGUUUUUAGUUGUUUGAUAAGGUACAUGAAAUUUUUUUCAAUCACAGGAAUGACAUGAUUAUAUUUGUAUUCUUGAAAGAUCAGUUAUCAUAAGUUACAAUUUAUUCUUUAGCAAUUGGUUAUAUCUAUAUCUCUUACUAGAUAUAACUGAUAUAUCUAGUUCUAUGUAAGUUCUAUGAAAACAAAUACCACGCCUGUUUUUGUCUCCAUUGUGUAUAUGAGACUGGAUAAGAGUACAAAAUAUUUAAUGAGUGAAUAAACAAAUGUGUAAGCAAAUGCAAGGAGAGCUGAAGCACUAUGAAGAAUCAGCAAGCAGAGAGCAAGACUAGAGGUAGGGAAAAUAAUUAAGAAGCUAUCAGAUUGAGAGUUGGUAUUUCCACAACUGAACAGAGUUCAGGGGCAAAUGAUCUAAUCUAAUUAGGGAAGAAAAAAACGUCAAACAAAAAUCUCCAAUUUUUUACAUACAUAAGAAUCCUAGAGAAACUUGGGUUGAUGUUACUCCAUAUCAGGGUCUGAAUUAUUGUUACGGCCACCUCAGAAAUGAAAGCCAAGAAAUUUGUUCUACUUUUUCUGGGUGAUCACAUACCCUUAAAUUAACCUAUGAUCUUCAUAUCUUUGGACUGAGAAUUUUAAAAGUAUAGCUAAGACUCCUUGGUCUUCUCCAAAUUAGAAUCUAUUUUCCAAGCUUAUAAAGGGGUUUCCAAACCAAAUCUGUGUGUGGGUUAGUCUCAUAUUCUAUAGUGGCAUAAAUAACUGCAAGAAGAAAGAUGGUCAGGAGAGGAGUGGAAAAGAUCAGCUCAAAAGUACAUUAACUGCAUAUUCCUACUAAUUUCUAGACUCUAGACUUCAGCCCACUAAGAGGGCAAACAAACUGGCCUUAGACAGGUUAGCAGAAUGGUAGAACUAAUCAGCAAAUAAAGCCAUACAAAAACUAGGCUGUAGGAAAGAAAUUCCUCAGCAAGAAAACAUUGCAAACUAAAACAGAGGAAAAAAGAAAAAAAAAGAAAACAGAGGAAAGAGAAAA